This is a non-coding RNA of Pelobates cultripes (western spadefoot toad), 230 nucleotides long. The record is from the annotation of a GenBank genome assembly. NCBI's taxonomy places the organism in Eukaryota, Metazoa, Chordata, Amphibia, Anura, Pelobatidae.
CUUCUCUUCCUCCUCCUUCUUCUCAUCUUUUUUAUCGUCUUCUUUGAGAUCAAUAAAAUCCUCCAAAGGGAGAAGAGAAAAGAUCUCGCAGAAGUCACCCUUCCAGAUUUUUUCCUUCACCUCCUGUUUGAGGUGGACCCCCAGCGGACCCGCAAACGACACAUAUGCGUGUUGCCUGGCCGCAUCAGGAACCACCCCCCCCGUCAACUCAGCCCGCUCGCUCGUCGCCU